Molecule: microRNA, 24 nt
Filed under: Pristionchus pacificus
Lineage: Eukaryota; Metazoa; Nematoda; Chromadorea; Rhabditida; Neodiplogasteridae
Description: ppc-miR-8323-3p
Source: miRBase by way of RNAcentral
UUCACAUUCUCGAAGUCUACUGCG